Molecule: ribosomal RNA, 426 nt
Filed under: uncultured bacterium
Lineage: Bacteria
Description: bacterial SSU rRNA
Rfam family: Bacterial small subunit ribosomal RNA
Source: RNAcentral
GUGGGGAAUAUUGCGCAAUGGGCGGAAGCCUGACGCAGCGACGCCGCGUGAGGGAUGACGGCCUUCGGGUUGUAAACCUCUUUCAGCAGGGACGAAUUUAGACGGUACCUGUAGAAGAAGCACCGGCCAACUACGUGCCAGCAGCCGCGGUAAUACGUAGGGUGCGAGCGUUGUCCGGAAUUAUUGGGCGUAAAGAGCUCGUAGGCGGUCUGUCGCGUCGAAUGUGAAAACCCGGGGCUCAACUCCGGGCUUGCAUUCGAUACGGGCAGGCUAGAGUUCGGUAGGGGAGUCUGGAAUUCCUGGUGUAGCGGUGAAAUGCGCAGAUAUCAGGAGGAACACCGGUGGCGAAGGCGGGACUCUGGGCCGAUACUGACGCUGAGGAGCGAAAGCGUGGGGAGCGAACAGGAUUAGAAACCCGAGUAGUCC